UUCUUACUUACUCUGAAACUCUUUCUUUAUUCCAGUAUACUCUCUGUUUUGAUCUGUUCUACUGCUCAUUGCUCUCUGUUUUGAUCUGUUCUACUACUCAUUGCUCAAGCUCGUCUCUCAUUUUCUCCUUUCCCGAGCGCCUAGCAUAGAUAACAUCACCCUACAAGGUACCAACAUUAUUGGUUUGAUUAUUUUGUUUCCUUUGUUUAAACUACAUAGUUAUUACGGAUGGGAGUUAAAAUAUUGAUUUUGUCGUUUGUAAUGGUUUGCAUAUGUUGAGUUGAGGGAUGACAAAGAAGUUUAUAGAAUAAAACUCUAAGAUCUGUUCUUUUUAUUAUUUGCUUUUUAGUUAAUCUCUUGUUGGUCCUUUAUUUGGUAGAUGACUCAUAAAAUUGUUUCUUAAAAAGUAAAGAACUUGGACUUAAUUUGAUUUGUUGCGUUGAUCAUUCAUUUUAAUCAUGUUCUGUUUCUUCCUAAGAAAAAAUAUGUAUGUUACAUUGAAGUGAUUGUUAGAAUUUAAAUAGAAAAAGAUCAACAUUCCUUGUUUUUUUUUACUUAGACAAAAUAAGAAUUUGCGUAAUACAACUCUGAAAUGUUCCCUUACUUUAUUUAUUUAUUUCGGCAUAUGUACUUUAUUUUUUGGAUUAAUUUGUAAGAAGUUACUGAUUCGGAAAGGAAUUUUAAUGGAUUAUUUGAUCUCUUUUUGCAGAUGUUGUUUAUGAAGAACACAAAACCCAAAUGGAGGAAAGGUCUACAUGUGAAAGUGUUUACGGAAGGAAAGGUCUACAUGUGAAAGUGUUUACGGAAGGAAAGGUCUACAUGGGAAGGUGUUUGAGGACGGAGAGUAAUGAUGGCGGGACAGAGAAGUCGAUAUGAACCUUGAGGGAAUGUGCCGUACUUUGAUUUUGAGUAUUAAGAUGUGUGAACGAAUGCUUGUAAGAGUAAUUAUAUGAUGUNNN
Molecule: long non-coding RNA, 959 nt
Filed under: Capsella grandiflora
Lineage: Eukaryota; Viridiplantae; Streptophyta; Magnoliopsida; Brassicales; Brassicaceae
Description: long non-coding RNA (CGRA_LNC000148)
Source: RNAcentral